This 73-nucleotide transfer RNA is filed under the name Stegodyphus mimosarum. It matches the Rfam family "tRNA". From Rfam's summary of the family: Transfer RNA (tRNA) molecules are approximately 80 nucleotides in length. Their secondary structure includes four short double-helical elements and three loops (D, anti-codon, and T loops). Lineage: Eukaryota; Metazoa; Arthropoda; Arachnida; Araneae; Eresidae. The record is from Rfam by way of RNAcentral.
GCCUUCAUGGUGUAGUGGUCAGCCCUCUGGAGGCGUAUUCCAGAGGUCCGUGGUUCGAUUCCUGGCGAAGGCA